GCUAGCUACAGGCUUAACACAUGCAAGUCGAGGGGCAGCAUGGUCUUAGCUUGCUAAGGCCGAUGGCGACCGGCGCACGGGUGAGUAACACGUAUCCAACCUGCCGUCUACUCUUGGACAGCCUUCUGAAAGGAAGAUUAAUACAAGAUGGCAUCAUGAGUCCGCAUGUUCACAUGAUUAAAGGUAUUCCGGUAGACGAUGGGGAUGCGUUCCAUUAGAUAGUAGGCGGGGUAACGGCCCACCUAGUCUUCGAUGGAUAGGGGUUCUGAGAGGAAGGUCCCCCACAUUGGAACUGAGACACGGUCCAAACUCCUACGGGAGGCAGCAGUGAGGAAUAUUGGUCAAUGGGCGAGAGCCUGAACCAGCCAAGUAGCGUGAAGGAUGACUGCCCUAUGGGUUGUAAACUUCUUUUAUAAAGGAAUAAAGUCGGGUAUGGAUACCCGUUUGCAUGUACUUUAUGAAUAAGGAUCGGCUAACUCCGUGCCAGCAGCCGCGGUAAUACGGAGGAUCCGAGCGUUAUCCGGAUUUAUUGGGUUUAAAGGGAGCGUAGAUGGAUGUUUAAGUCAGUUGUGAAAGUUUGCGGCUCAACCGUAAAAUUGCAGUUGAUACUGGAUAUCUUGAGUGCAGUUGAGGCAGGCGGAAUUCGUGGUGUAGCGGUGAAAUGCUUAGAUAUCACGAAGAACUCCGAUUGUGAAGGCAGCCUGCUAAGCUGCAACUGACAUUGAGGCUCGAAAGUGUGGGUAUCAAACAGGAUUAGAUACCCUGGUAGUCCACACGGUAAACGAUGAAUACUCGCUGUUUGCGAUAUACUGCAAGCGGCCAAGCGAAAGCGUUAAGUAUUCCACCUGGGGAGUACGCCGGCAACGGUGAAACUCAAAGGAAUUGACGGGGGCCCGCACAAGCGGAGGAACAUGUGGUUUAAUUCGAUGAUACGCGAGGAACCUUACCCGGGCUUAAAUUGCAGAUGAAUUACGGUGAAAGCCGUAAGCCGCAAGGCAUCUGUGAAGGUGCUGCAUGGUUGUCGUCAGCUCGUGCCGUGAGGUGUCGGCUUAAGUGCCAUAACGAGCGCAACCCUUGUUGUCAGUUACUAACAGGUUCCGCUGAGGACUCUGACAAGACUGCCAUCGUAAGAUGUGAGGAAGGUGGGGAUGACGUCAAAUCAGCACGGCCCUUACGUCCGGGGCUACACACGUGUUACAAUGGGGGGUACAGAGGGCCGCUACCACGCGAGUGGAUGCCAAUCCCCAAAACCUCUCUCAGUUCGGACUGGAGUCUGCAACCCGACUCCACGAAGCUGGAUUCGCUAGUAAUCGCGCAUCAGCCACGGCGCGGUGAAUACGUUCCCGGGCCUUGUACACACCGCCCGUCAAGCCAUGGGAGCCGGGGGUACCUGAAGUGCGUAACCGCGAGGAGCGCCCUAGGGUAAAACUGGUGACUGGGGUU
RNAcentral lists this ribosomal RNA (1443 nucleotides) under uncultured organism. RNAcentral describes it as "SSU rRNA". It matches the Rfam family "Bacterial small subunit ribosomal RNA". The record is from RNAcentral.